UCCUGGCUCAGAACGAACGCUGGCGGCAUGCCUAACACAUGCAAGUCGAACGAGAUCUUCGGAUCUAGUGGCGCACGGGUGCGUAACGCGUGGGAAUCUGCCCUUUGCUUCGGAAUAACAGUUAGAAAUGACUGCUAAUACCGGAUGAUGUCUUCGGACCAAAGAUUUAUCGCCAAAGGAUUGGCCCGCGUUGGAUUAGGUAGUUGGUGGGGUAAUGGCCUACCAAGCCUACGAUCCAUAGCUGGUUUGAGAGGAUGAUCAGCAACACUGGGACUGAGACACGGCCCAGACUCCUACGGGAGGCAGCAGUGGGGAAUCUUAGACAAUGGGCGCAAGCCUGAUCUAGCCAUGCCGCGUGAGCGAUGAAGGCCUUAGGGUUGUAAAGCUCUUUCAGAUGGGAAGAUAAUGACGGUACCAUCAGAAGAAGCCCCGGCUAACUCCGUG
RNAcentral lists this ribosomal RNA (444 nucleotides) under uncultured bacterium. RNAcentral's name for it is "bacterial SSU rRNA". It matches the Rfam family "Bacterial small subunit ribosomal RNA", at positions 17 to 507 of the family's 1533-position model. The record is from RNAcentral.